RNAcentral lists this non-coding RNA (75 nucleotides) under Butyrivibrio sp. Su6. Its description in RNAcentral is "c-di-GMP-I riboswitch aptamer". It matches the Rfam family "c-di-GMP-I riboswitch aptamer". Rfam says of the family: GEMM was predicted in a large-scale screen for bacterial structured RNA regulatory elements. Genes associated with GEMM are involved in a diverse array of functions, including chemotaxis regulation, signal transduction, secretion and chitin. Lineage: Bacteria; Bacillati; Bacillota; Clostridia; Lachnospirales; Lachnospiraceae. The record is from Rfam by way of RNAcentral.
UUUAUAUAUCAGCAAAGCCGGAGCAAUCCGGUGACGCAAAGCUAUAGGGUCUUUAUGAGACAGCCAGUUGCAUUU